This 301-nucleotide ribosomal RNA is filed under the name uncultured bacterium. Its description in RNAcentral is "partial 16S ribosomal RNA". It matches the Rfam family "Bacterial small subunit ribosomal RNA", at positions 509 to 807 of the family's 1533-position model. The record is from RNAcentral.
CAGCAGCCGCGGGAAUACGAAGGGUGCAAGCGUUAAUCGGAAUUACUGGGCGUAAAGCGUGCGUAGGCGGUUUGUUAAGUCUGUUGUGAAAUCCCCGGGCUCAACCUGGGAAUGGCAAUGGAUACUGGCAAGCUAGAGUGUGUCAGAGGAUGGUGGAAUUCCCGGUGUAGCGGUGAAAUGCGUAGAGAUCGGGAGGAACAUCAGUGGCGAAGGCGGCCAUCUGGGACAACACUGACGCUGAGGCACGAAAGCGUGGGGAGCAAACAGGAUUAGAUACCCCCGUAGUCCCUGUCUCUUAUAC